RNAcentral lists this long non-coding RNA (253 nucleotides) under Homo sapiens (human). RNAcentral's name for it is "non-protein coding lnc-PSAT1-5:1". The record is from RNAcentral. Lineage: Eukaryota; Metazoa; Chordata; Mammalia; Primates; Hominidae.
AUGGGGAGGACUCCCACUGCUGUGCAAGUUAAGUCUUUUACAAAACAAGGACAGCAGAGGAGGGUUUGCAGAGACCUCCCUCUGAAAAACACAAAGAAUGGACUCUCUCCUGGGAUGAGGACUUGCUUUCUUUACCUCCGGUUCUUUCCAUGUCUUAGUUGGAUGUCCCUGAAAUGGACACAGGCUGUGCCAUUGUGCCAGAAACAUUGUGUUAUCUUUUAUGUUGUUGUUGUUGCUGUUAAACUAUAAUAUG